RNAcentral lists this ribosomal RNA (1914 nucleotides) under Flabelligera affinis. Its description in RNAcentral is "SSU rRNA". It matches the Rfam family "Eukaryotic small subunit ribosomal RNA". Lineage: Eukaryota; Metazoa; Annelida; Polychaeta; Terebellida; Flabelligeridae. The record is from RNAcentral.
AGCCAUGCACGUGUAAGUACAGGCUAUCAAAUGGUUGAAACUGCGAACGGCUCAUUAAAUCAGUCAUGGAUCAAUGGAUCGUACAAAUCUGACAUGGAUAACUGUGGUAAUUCUAGAGCUAAUACAUGCAACAUAGAUCAGACCCCGCGAGGGGGAAGAGCGCUCUUAUUAGAUCAAGACCAACCGGGCCUGGGGCCCGUCUCAUUUUGGUGACUCUGGAUAACACGUUGGCAGAUCGCACGGCCACGCGCCGGCGACGCUUCUUUCAAAUGUCUGCCUUAUCAACUGCGAUGGCAGGUGAGUUGCCUGCCAUGGUCGCAACGGGUAACGGGGAAUCAGGGUUCGAUUCCGGAGAGGGAGCCUGAGAAACAGCUACCACAUCCAAGGAAGGCAGCAGGCGCGCAAAUUACCCACUCCCGACACGGGGAGGUAGUGACGAAAAAUAACGAUGCGGGACUCUUUGGAGGCCCCGUAAUCGGAAUGAGUGCGCAUGUAAAAACUUGGACAAGGAUCUAUUGGAGGGCAAGUCUGGUGCCAGCAGCCGCGGUAAUUCCAGCUCCAAAAGCGUAUAUUAAAAUUGCUGCGUUUAAAACGCUCGUAGUUGGAUCUCCGGUGAGGGGUGGUCGGUGACGGCAAUGUGCCGUCCACUGGCUUCGGCUCGGUCGUCGUUGCCUGGUCGGCAGCGGCUGUUAGCGCGGUCGCGAUCGGCUCUGGUGGCGUGCGGUCGGUCGAGUUACAUCCCCACCUAGACUAGCCGGCGUCUCCUCGGGUGCUCUUGGUUGAGUGUCCUGGGGCGGCCUGGCCCGUUUACUUUGAGCAAACAGAAGUGAUCAAAGCAGGCAGUUCACUAAUGUGUGCCACUGAACUGGUCGUGCAUGGAAUAAUGGAAUAGGACCUCGGUUCUGUUGUGUUGGUUUCUGGAGUCCGAGGCAAUGAUUAAGAGGGACAGACGGGGGCAUUCGUAUUGCGGCGGGAGAGGUGAAAUUCUUAGAUCGCCGCAAGACGCUCUACUGCGAAAGCAUUUGCCAAGAAUGUUUUCCUUAGUCAAGAACGAAAGUCAGAGGUUCAAAGACGAUCAGAUACCGUCGUAGUUCUGACUGUAAACGAUGCCGACCGGCGAUGCGCCGACGUCGUAUCACAAAGACUCGGUGUGUAGCCCUCCCGGGAAACCUAGAGUACUUGGUUACGGGGGAAGUAUGGUUGCAAAGCUGAAACUUAAAGGAAUUGACGGAAGGGCACCACCAGGAGUGGAGCCUGCGGCUUAAUUUGACUCAACACGGGAAACCUCACCCGGCCCGGACACCGUGAGGAUUGACAGAUUGAGAGCUCUUUCUCGAUUCGGUGGUUGGUGGUGCAUGGCCGUUCUUAGUUGGUGGAGCGAUCUGUCUGGUUAAUUCCGAUAACGAACGAGACUCUGGCUUGCUAUAUAGUUCGCUCGUCGCCUCCGUGGUGGGCGAGCGUGGCAUACGGUUCGGCGGCCGUCCUCUCGGGCACCGUCGGGCCUUGUCAAUGGAACUUCUUAGAGGGACAAAUGGCUUUGAGUCAUGCGAGAUUGAGCAAUAACAGGUCUGUGAUGCCCUUAGAUGUCCGGGGCCGCACGCGCGCUACACUGAAGGAAUCAACGAGUGUUUCUCUCCCGGUCCGGAAGGAUCGGGCAACCUCUUGAACCUCCUUCGUGAUUGGGACUGGGCUUUGCAAUUGUUGCCCACGAACGAAGAAUUCCCAGUAAGCGCGAGUCACGAACUCGCGUUGAUUACGUCCCUGCCCUUUGUACACACCGCCCGUCGCUACUACCGAUUGGACGUUCGAGUGAGGGCUUUGGAUCGGCCCCAAUGCACACGGUGGGCAACUACCGUGGGCUCGGUGUUGCAGAAAAGAUGUUCAAACUCGAGCGUCUAGAGGAAGUAAAAAGUC